UAUAAAACGUUAUAUAUUUUAAAAAGAAUAUAGUUAUAAAAAAAUAUAAAAAUAGUUUUAGCUUAACGAAAGUGAAACUUGUCUGUGUAAUUGGAGUCUUACUUUUAUUUACAAUUCGUGCAAUAAUUUUAGUUUGACGAAACUACAUUCUACGUAAUCUACAUCUGCGCAAUUCUGGGCUUGCUUUUAUUCAUAACUCGUGCAGUCAAAGAUGCAGACAGAGUUUAUUGAUCAUUGCGAGGAAUAAUUAAGAGGAUUGUACAUCUUAGGAACGUGUCACAGUCGGGUUUGAAAGUGUCAACUACACUGGACGCAAUUAUACAAAAAUGAGGAAUCUACAUUUCUUGGGAAACCGCCUCAGAGCUGUAAUUGUAACUGAAGUAGGCUCUUGCUAUAUCGCCACGGACAGGGAUGUAGGACGUAUACGACAGUGGUGUGAAAAAGUAUUUGGAUCUUUUUUGUAGUAUAACGAAUAAAGAAAUAAAUAGUAUUGA
Molecule: long non-coding RNA, 494 nt
Organism: Megachile rotundata (alfalfa leafcutting bee)
Lineage: Eukaryota; Metazoa; Arthropoda; Insecta; Hymenoptera; Megachilidae
Source: RefSeq, a predicted model, not a curated record